UAAGGAAUAUUGGUCAAUGGACGCAAGUCUGAACCAGCCAUGCCGCGUGAAGGAUGAAGGUCCUCUGGAUUGUAAACUUCUUUUAUCUGGGACGAAAACGGGAUUUUUAUCUCAAUUGACGGUACCAGAGGAAUAAGCACCGGCUAACUCCGUGCCAGCAGCCGCGGUAAUACGGAGGGUGCGAGCGUUAUCCGGAUUUACUGGGUUUAAAGGGUGCGUAGGUGGGCUUAUAAGUCAGUGGUGAAAUCUCCGAGCUUAACUUGGAAACUGCCGUUGAUACUAUAGGUCUUGAAUUAUCUGGAGGUUAGCGGAAUAUGUCAUGUAGCGGUGAAAUGCUUAGAUAUGACAUAGAACACCAGUUGCGAAGGCAGCUUACUACAUAUAAAUUGACGCUGAGGCACGAAAGCGUGGGGAUCAAACA
Molecule: ribosomal RNA, 421 nt
Filed under: uncultured bacterium
Lineage: Bacteria
Description: bacterial SSU rRNA
Rfam family: Bacterial small subunit ribosomal RNA
Source: RNAcentral